Molecule: long non-coding RNA, 1108 nt
Organism: Numida meleagris (helmeted guineafowl)
Lineage: Eukaryota; Metazoa; Chordata; Aves; Galliformes; Numididae
Exons: 2
Source: RefSeq, a predicted model, not a curated record
CGCCGCCGGAAGGAGCCGGGCCGGGGGCCCCGCGGCUGUGCGCUAAGGGUCGGCGCCUGUGCAGCGCGAGCAGCGCGGCCGGGCCUGCAGAAAGUUUCCCCGCCGCCGCGGCGGCAGGUGGACGGCAGGCUGAGACUUGUUGCCGUUCGUGAUCGUUUUGGCCGCGUUUCAUCAAGCAUUUGUGACUCGAGAACUGUCUCGGCCGGUGCUCCACAAAACCACCCUGUUUCUUGGGCUGGCUUGACGCUAAUAUCCCCAACAAGCUUCCUGCACGGUGUAACCGGGCUGCGUUUUGUGCCCCUUCGCACGGGGAAGGGUUAAAAGGCCCGCUGUGCUGAGCGUUCUGGUGCUCGCUGGCUCCUGGCCCAGCCCUCUCUAGGUGCUGUAUUGCAUCAGAGCGGGCACGAGCACCUCGCUGCGCUCUCCUCCGCGCGCUGUACUUGGAGCGCUUUGCCGUUUCCCACGGCAUGUUAAUUUUUCCCCCUGUGGUCUCCAGGAUUUCUUCUCGUGUGUUUUUUGGAGGAUGUUCUCCCCUGGCCCUCCCACCCAGGUUGAGCCAGGGCGUUGCUCCACCGUGCCCUAUACCGGGCACCUGGAACCCAUCUUGCACCUCUGCCGCACAGUGAGCCCUUGGUCUCGAGACACUUCCUACUCAAGUGUCCAAACGUCGCUGCAGAACAGCCCUUCUGUGCAUUACCCAGCGAGGCUACGGAGCUCCGAGUGUUGCAAAACUUGCUAAAUACCUUGGAUGGAAUCAGUAAGCUGCAGAGCCUGUUGGAAGCUCGUCCUUUCUCCAGCUAUUUUUCGUAGAGGGACAAUUCUGGCUGAUGACUUUUUCUCACCUGAUUUUGUAGUAAUUGUCAAUUGUAUUGUCAGGUCUUCUGGUCUGUUUCACAAGUGCCUACUGCAAUGCUCAACUUUGUGCUAAUGUAAGAUAAUACGUCUCCAUCUGUAGAUCGGCUUGACAGCACAGCUUGAGGACCAUAUGGCCUUGACUCUGACUGCCCACCAUUUUUUCAGUAUUACCCCCAAGACUCUUUCAUUUCCUUUGUCAGACAGGAUUAUUAGAAUUCUCUGUUUUGCUCCAAAUAAAUUUAAAAAAAAAUUA